RNAcentral lists this long non-coding RNA (318 nucleotides) under Mytilus galloprovincialis (Mediterranean mussel). The record is from RNAcentral. Lineage: Eukaryota; Metazoa; Mollusca; Bivalvia; Mytilida; Mytilidae.
UGUUAUGAACAUUUAAGUAAGGAGCCUGUAGUUCAGUGGUUGUCGUUUGUUUGUGUGUUACAUAUUUGUUUUUCGUUCCUUUUUUUGUACAUUUUGUACAUAAAUAAGGCCGCUAGUUUUCUCGUUUGAAUUUUUUUACAUCGUCAUUUCGGGGCCUUUUAAAGCUGAGUAUGCGGUAUGGGCUUUGCUCGUUGUUGAAGGCCAUACGGUGACCUAUAGUCGUAAAUUUCUGUGUCAUUUUGGUCUCUUGUGGAGAGUUGUCUCAACAUGGCAAUCAUACCACAUCUUUUUUUUUGUUAUCAAUGAAUUUUGUAAAAU